AUGGCAGCAAAAAGACAGUAAAAUACAAUAAAAUACACAAGGUUACAUUUAUGACAUAAAAUACAGACAUGCAACAUAUGCCCAGAUAGCUUAGGUCUGAGCGCACAUUAUUACUGAAUGGCGCUCAGGACACACACAUACAGUUCAAUUGCCAUGGAGCCAAAAUCUUUCCCAUAGUCUUUCAUUAUACGAAUGGGCUCCAUGGCAUAGUUAUCUGGGGUAUCACUGCUCAAACAG
Molecule: non-coding RNA, 237 nt
Organism: Pelobates cultripes (western spadefoot toad)
Lineage: Eukaryota; Metazoa; Chordata; Amphibia; Anura; Pelobatidae
Source: the annotation of a GenBank genome assembly